RNAcentral lists this ribosomal RNA (277 nucleotides) under uncultured bacterium. Its description in RNAcentral is "partial 16S ribosomal RNA". It matches the Rfam family "Bacterial small subunit ribosomal RNA", at positions 29 to 323 of the family's 1533-position model. The record is from RNAcentral.
AACGAACGCUGGCGGCAUGCUUAACACAUGCAAGUCGAACGCAAGGCUUCGGCCUUGAGUGGCGCACGGGUGAGUAGCGCGUGGGAACCUGCCCUGGAGUGGGGGAUAACCGAUGGAAACGUCGGCUAAUACCGCAUGAUCCCGGUGGUGACAUCGGGCAAAGAUUUAUCGCUUUGGGAGGGGCCCGCGUCGGAUUAGGUAGUUGGUGGGGUAACGGCCUACCAAGCCGAUGAUCCGUAGCUGGUCUGAGAGGAUGAUCAGCCACACUGGGACUGAG